Molecule: ribosomal RNA, 500 nt
Filed under: uncultured bacterium
Lineage: Bacteria
Description: partial 16S ribosomal RNA
Rfam family: Bacterial small subunit ribosomal RNA
Source: RNAcentral
GACGAACGCUGGCGGCGUGCUUAACACAUGCAAGUCGAACGGGCCCGCCCCUGUUUUUGGGGGUGGGUUGAGUGGCGAACGGGUGAGUAUCACGUGAGUAACCUGCCCCCUGCUCCUGGAUAACUGCUUGAAAGGGCGGCUAAUACGGGGUGUGCCGGCUGGUCCGCAUGGGCCUGGUCGGGAUAGUUUCAUCUUCGGGUGUUUCGGUGGGGGAUGGGCUCGCGGCCUAUCAGCUUGUUGGUGGGGUGAUGGCCCACCAAGGCGGUGACGGGUAGCCGGCCUGAGAGGGUGGGCGGCCACACUGGGACUGAGACACGGCCCAGACUCCUGCGGGAGGCAGCAGUGGGGGGUAUUGCACAAUGGGCGGAAGCCUGAUGCAGCGACGUCGCGUGAGGGAUGGAGGCCUUCGGGUUGUGAACCUCUUUCUCCGGUGGUGAAGGCCCUGUCCGUUGCGGCGGGGUUGACGGUAGCCGGGUAUGAAGCGCCGGCUAACUACGUGC